GAAAUGCGAUAAGUAAUGUGAAUUGCAGAAUUCAGUGAAUCAUCGAAUCUUUGAACGCACAUUGCGCUCCUUGGUAUUCCUUGGAGCAUGCCUGUUUGAGUAUCAUGAAAUCUUCAAAGUAAAUCUUUUGUUAACUCAAUUGGUUUCUACUUUGGUAUUGGAGGUCUUUGCAGCUUCACACCUGCUCCUCUUUGUUCAUUAGCUGGAUCUCAGUGUUAUGCUUGGUUCCACUCGGCGUGAUAAGUUAUCUAUCGCUGAGGACACUGUAAAAGGUGGCCAAGGUAAAUGCAGAUGAUCCGCUUCUAAUAGUCCAUUGACUUGGACAAUACUUUUAUGAUCUGAUCUCAAAUCAGGUAGGACUACCCGCUGAACUUAAGC
This 378-nucleotide unclassified non-coding RNA is filed under the name plant metagenome. RNAcentral's name for it is "partial contains 5.8S ribosomal RNA, internal transcribed spacer 2, and large subunit ribosomal RNA". The stretch from base 1 to 105 matches the Rfam family "5.8S ribosomal RNA", at positions 50 to 154 of the family's 154-position model. The record is from RNAcentral.